UGAACAAUUGAUCAAAUGGCCACCCGGACUAUUUACAUUAACCCCCCCCCACACACACUUUUUUUUACUCUGCUGGUACUCGCUGUUUAUUUUCUAUGCUUAGUCACUUACCCCUAGCUACAUGUACAAAUGACCUGGACUAACCUGUACCCCCACACAUUGACUUAGUACCGGUACCCCUGUUUAUAGCCUCGUUAUUUUAUUGUGUUACUUUUUAUUAUUUUUUACUUUUGUUUAUUUGGUAAAUAUUUUCUUAACUCUUUCUUGAACUGCAUUGUUGGUUAAAGGCUUGUAAGUAAGCAUUUCAUGGUGAGGUCUACUCCUGUUGUAUUCGGCGCAUAUGACGAAUAAAGUUAGAUUUGAUUUCAAUAACUUAUUGUAGACAGGAUUCAAAGACACUAUUGUCACACCAGGCUUGUGCAUGUGUGUGUGUCAGGUCUGAGGUGGGCUCUCCAACCCAGUGGGCUGAGAGAGUUGAGCAGGGAGGCCCGAGGGAGACUUCAGCCUCUCUUGGACCAGGCCCAAGAGACAUUUAAACUAUCCCUAAAAAAAAUAAAGGGUUGUAUGGACACAAAAAAUGGACAAUGAUUUUGAGUUUUUUCUUGUUUUUCAGCAGGCAGGGGAAUAAACAACUGAGUGUGUAACUUUGCUGUCACUCAAUACCCACAUUGUUGUUACAGAAGAAAAGCCUGGACCAAGGAAAGCUUUCCCCUCACUCAGGAAUUCCACUGCCCUCAGAGGAGUGGGAAAAUCAAUACAUCUCAUUUGUAAUUGAAAAAUCCAUACAGCUUUUACCACCAUAUUUGUGCCACCACAGUGAAAUGAAUAGGGAAUUUACAGCUAGGCCUAGGGUGUAGUGCUGCAGCCUUGUGUAUGUGCUGAGUGACAAGACUGAGUUAGAGUAGGAGUGGUUUGUGUUAGGUAGGAGAAGGUCAGUAGUGGUGUGGUACUGAGCUUGCCCUACCUGUGUACCCCAGCAGAUAGGAGCUGUUGCCUCUCAGACCCGGGACAGAAAGGCCACAUCGUCACUGACGCAUCGGCUGUCUGAGCAGGCUACAGACAGAGCUACGCUGCCGCCCUGCUAGAGGAGCUGCUGGCUGAUGCAGUGCUGGCCAUCUGGGUGGCGGAGACAGACAGAUGGAGGGUUUGGCACAGCUCCAGGCCCCCACCCUGGAGAGCAUGCUGCUAUCCAUGGAGGAGAUGGAGAAAUAUCAGGAAGUUGUGAGGAGGCACUUUUCUACCAUCACGUACUCAGACCCUCACUACUGGGACAAAGGGGACACAACUGGGGAGUAAACAGGCCAAGUAACUCCUCCACACAGUUUUGCAUGAGGGUUUGAAUUGUUGUUCCUCUGGUGCACUGCAGAUGGAGGUAUUGCCUUAGUGCUGUUUCAGCCAGUUGAGAGCAAGGCUAUCCCUCUUCCUAACUCUCCUUUUCCACCCCUCUUUCUCCCAUCCCCAUCGCUCUCUCAAGGCCCUAGAGGCCUGCUCCAGGCCAGUCUCUACUCAGCCUGUCAGGAUCACCGGGCCAACACUGAGACACACCACCACGGCUGACAUUGUCCUGGAGAGCCCUGUGGAGACCGGUUGUUUUUUCAUCUGGUGUUGCCAAAGCGCUCUUUUCUCUGAAUAGUCCUAUGCACAGAAUUCAAUAUAACAUUGUGUACUGUUACAGUAUCUGUAUGUUAAUAUGUGUAGUAAUCACCAUGCAAUACUGCAGCCACCAUCUUAGAGAAAGCUUCAAGCACUGUCUGAGUUUAAUGGGUUGAUGUAUGGACAGAUGGUUUGAGAAACAGAUAUAUAUUAAUAAGGAAUAUAUGACAUUAUAUACUGGGUGGUUCGAGCCCUGAAUGCUGAUUUGUCUGACAGCCGUGGUAUAUCAGACCAUACACCACGGGUAUGACAAAUAAUUUAUUUUUACGGCUCUAAUUACAUUGG
Long non-coding RNA from Oncorhynchus gorbuscha (pink salmon), 1938 nucleotides. RefSeq lists it as uncharacterized. NCBI's taxonomy places the organism in Eukaryota, Metazoa, Chordata, Actinopteri, Salmoniformes, Salmonidae. The record is from RefSeq and is a predicted model, not a curated record. The transcript has 3 exons.